This 2904-nucleotide ribosomal RNA is filed under the name Escherichia coli. RNAcentral's name for it is "23S ribosomal RNA". It matches the Rfam family "Bacterial large subunit ribosomal RNA". Lineage: Bacteria; Pseudomonadati; Pseudomonadota; Gammaproteobacteria; Enterobacterales; Enterobacteriaceae. The record is from RNAcentral.
GGUUAAGCGACUAAGCGUACACGGUGGAUGCCCUGGCAGUCAGAGGCGAUGAAGGACGUGCUAAUCUGCGAUAAGCGUCGGUAAGGUGAUAUGAACCGUUAUAACCGGCGAUUUCCGAAUGGGGAAACCCAGUGUGAUUCGACACACUAUCAUUAACUGAAUCCAUAGGUUAAUGAGGCGAACCGGGGGAACUGAAACAUCUAAGUACCCCGAGGAAAAGAAAUCAACCGAGAUUCCCCCAGUAGCGGCGAGCGAACGGGGAGCAGCCCAGAGCCUGAAUCAGUGUGUGUGUUAGUGGAAGCGUCUGGAAAGGCGCGCGAUACAGGGUGACAGCCCCGUACACAAAAAUGCACAUACUGUGAGCUCGAUGAGUAGGGCGGGACACGUGGUAUCCUGUCUGAAUAUGGGGGGACCAUCCUCCAAGGCUAAAUACUCCUGACUGACCGAUAGUGAACCAGUACCGUGAGGGAAAGGCGAAAAGAACCCCGGCGAGGGGAGUGAAAAAGAACCUGAAACCGUGUACGUACAAGCAGUGGGAGCCUCUUUAUGGGGUGACUGCGUACCUUUUGUAUAAUGGGUCAGCGACUUAUAUUCUGUAGCAAGGUUAACCGAAUAGGGGAGCCGAAGGGAAACCGAGUCUUAACUGGGCGUUAAGUUGCAGGGUAUAGACCCGAAACCCGGUGAUCUAGCCAUGGGCAGGUUGAAGGUUGGGUAACACUAACUGGAGGACCGAACCGACUAAUGUUGAAAAAUUAGCGGAUGACUUGUGGCUGGGGGUGAAAGGCCAAUCAAACCGGGAGAUAGCUGGUUCUCCCCGAAAGCUAUUUAGGUAGCGCCUCGUGAAUUCAUCUCCGGGGGUAGAGCACUGUUUCGGCAAGGGGGUCAUCCCGACUUACCAACCCGAUGCAAACUGCGAAUACCGGAGAAUGUUAUCACGGGAGACACACGGCGGGUGCUAACGUCCGUCGUGAAGAGGGAAACAACCCAGACCGCCAGCUAAGGUCCCAAAGUCAUGGUUAAGUGGGAAACGAUGUGGGAAGGCCCAGACAGCCAGGAUGUUGGCUUAGAAGCAGCCAUCAUUUAAAGAAAGCGUAAUAGCUCACUGGUCGAGUCGGCCUGCGCGGAAGAUGUAACGGGGCUAAACCAUGCACCGAAGCUGCGGCAGCGACACUAUGUGUUGUUGGGUAGGGGAGCGUUCUGUAAGCCUGUGAAGGUGUGCUGUGAGGUAUGCUGGAGGUAUCAGAAGUGCGAAUGCUGACAUAAGUAACGAUAAAGCGGGUGAAAAGCCCGCUCGCCGGAAGACCAAGGGUUCCUGUCCAACGUUAAUCGGGGCAGGGUGAGUCGACCCCUAAGGCGAGGCCGAAAGGCGUAGUCGAUGGGAAACAGGUUAAUAUUCCUGUACUUGGUGUUACUGCGAAGGGGGGACGGAGAAGGCUAUGUUGGCCGGGCGACGGUUGUCCCGGUUUAAGCGUGUAGGCUGGUUUUCCAGGCAAAUCCGGAAAAUCAAGGCUGAGGCGUGAUGACGAGGCACUACGGUGCUGAAGCAACAAAUGCCCUGCUUCCAGGAAAAGCCUCUAAGCAUCAGGUAACAUCAAAUCGUACCCCAAACCGACACAGGUGGUCAGGUAGAGAAUACCAAGGCGCUUGAGAGAACUCGGGUGAAGGAACUAGGCAAAAUGGUGCCGUAACUUCGGGAGAAGGCACGCUGAUAUGUAGGUGAAGUCCCUUGCGGAUGGAGCUGAAAUCAGUCGAAGAUACCAGCUGGCUGCAACUGUUUAUUAAAAACACAGCACUGUGCAAACACGAAAGUGGACGUAUACGGUGUGACGCCUGCCCGGUGCCGGAAGGUUAAUUGAUGGGGUUAGCGGUAACGCGAAGCUCUUGAUCGAAGCCCCGGUAAACGGCGGCCGUAACUAUAACGGUCCUAAGGUAGCGAAAUUCCUUGUCGGGUAAGUUCCGACCUGCACGAAUGGCGUAAUGAUGGCCAGGCUGUCUCCACCCGAGACUCAGUGAAAUUGAACUCGCUGUGAAGAUGCAGUGUACCCGCGGCAAGACGGAAAGACCCCGUGAACCUUUACUAUAGCUUGACACUGAACAUUGAGCCUUGAUGUGUAGGAUAGGUGGGAGGCUUUGAAGUGUGGACGCCAGUCUGCAUGGAGCCGACCUUGAAAUACCACCCUUUAAUGUUUGAUGUUCUAACGUUGGCCCCUGAUCGGGGUUGCGGACAGUGUCUGGUGGGUAGUUUGACUGGGGCGGUCUCCUCCUAAAGAGUAACGGAGGAGCACGAAGGUUGGCUAAUCCUGGUCGGACAUCAGGAGGUUAGUGCAAUGGCAUAAGCCAGCUUGACUGCGAGCGUGACGGCGCGAGCAGGUGCGAAAGCAGGUCAUAGUGAUCCGGUGGUUCUGAAUGGAAGGGCCAUCGCUCAACGGAUAAAAGGUACUCCGGGGAUAACAGGCUGAUACCGCCCAAGAGUUCAUAUCGACGGCGGUGUUUGGCACCUCGAUGUCGGCUCAUCACAUCCUGGGGCUGAAGUAGGUCCCAAGGGUAUGGCUGUUCGCCAUUUAAAGUGGUACGCGAGCUGGGUUUAGAACGUCGUGAGACAGUUCGGUCCCUAUCUGCCGUGGGCGCUGGAGAACUGAGGGGGGCUGCUCCUAGUACGAGAGGACCGGAGUGGACGCAUCACUGGUGUUCGGGUUGUCAUGCCAAUGGCACUGCCCGGUAGCUAAAUGCGGAAGAGAUAAGUGCUGAAAGCAUCUAAGCACGAAACUUGCCCCGAGAUGAGUUCUCCCUGACUCCUUGAGAGUCCUGAAGGAACGUUGAAGACGACGACGUUGAUAGGCCGGGUGUGUAAGCGCAGCGAUGCGUUGAGCUAACCGGUACUAAUGAACCGUGAGGCUUAACCUU